UGCCGGACGGCCGCGCGGUAUCAUGCCGAAAGGUCAUACCGUGAGGAAAGUCCGGGCUUCACAGGGCAGGAUAGCUGAUAACGUCAGCCGCAGGCGACUGCCGGGAAAGUGCAACAGAAAUAAACCGCCGCCGCCUUUGGGCGGCGGCAAGGGUGGAAAGGCGAGGUAAGAGCUCACCAGUUCCCGUGGUAACACGGGUCCGCUGUAAACCCUAUCCGAAGCAACACCGCAUGGGGAUCGUUUGCCCGACACAUAUCCCCGGGUGGCACACGGCGAAAAGCCGUGGAGCGUUCCGGCGACGGGACGCAAAGACAGAUGGUCGUCCAAGACAGAACCCGGCUUACAGGCAGAGUU
This 354-nucleotide RNase P RNA is filed under the name human gut metagenome. RNAcentral's name for it is "Bacterial RNase P class A". It matches the Rfam family "Bacterial RNase P class A". Rfam says of the family: Ribonuclease P (RNase P) is a ubiquitous endoribonuclease, found in archaea, bacteria and eukarya as well as chloroplasts and mitochondria. Its best characterised activity is the generation of mature 5'-ends of tRNAs by cleaving the 5'-leader elements of precursor-tRNAs. The record is from RNAcentral.